ACUAUACCUAGCCCAAACCCUCACAUCAAUUUAACAAUUAAAACUAACUAAAACAAAACAUUUACCUUUGACUAAAGUAUAGGAGAUAGAAAUCUUAACAUGGCGCUAUAGAGAAAGUACCGCAAGGGAAUGAUGAAAGAAAAAAUUAAAGUAUAAAAAAGCAAAGAUUAUCUCUUGUACCUUUUGCAUAAUGAAUUAACUAGCAAAAACUUGACAAAACGGAUUUUAGCCAAGUAACCCGAAACCAGACGAGCUACUUAUGAACAAUUUGUUAAGAACUAACUCAUCUAUGUGGCAAAAUAGUGAGAAGAUUUAUAAGUAGAGGUGAAACGCCUAACGAGCCUGGUGAUAGCUGGUUGUCCAGAAAAUGAAUCUUAGUUCAGCUUUAAAAAUACCAAAAAUACAAACAAAUCCACUGUAUUUUUAAAAGUUAGUCUAAAAAGGUACAGCCUUUUAGAUAUGGAUACAACCUUGACCAGAGAGUAAAAUUUAACAAAACCAUAGUAGGCCUAAAAGCAGCCACCAAUUAAGAAAGCGUUAAAGCUCAACAUUAAAAUAGUAUUAAAUUCCAAAAACAAAUAAUUAACUCCUGGGCCCAUUACUGGACUAUUCUAUUGUAUAAUAGAGGCAAUAAUGUUAAUAUGAGUAACAAGAAACAUUUUCUCCUUGCAUAAGUUUAAGUCAGUAUCUGAUAAUACCCUGACUAUUAACAGCAAAUAAAAUAAUCCAAAAAUAAACAAUUUAUUUAUUACACUGUUAAUCCAACACAGGCAUGCAUUCAGGAAAGAUUAAAAGAAGUAAAAGGAACUCGGCAAACACAAACCCCGCCUGUUUACCAAAAACAUCACCUCCAGCAUUCCCAGUAUUGGAGGCACUGCCUGCCCAGUGACUGACGUUAAACGGCCGCGGUAUUCUGACCGUGCAAAGGUAGCAUAAUCAUUUGUUCUUUAAAUAAGGACUUGUAUGAAUGGCCACACGAGGGUUUUACUGUCUCUUACUUCCAAUCAGUGAAAUUGACCCCCCCGUGAAGAGGCGGGGAUAGACAAAUAAGACGAGAAGACCCUAUGGAGCUUUAACUAACUAACUCAAAGAAAGAUUAACUUAACCACCAAGGGGCAAUGAUAUUCUUCAUGAGUUAGCAGUUUUGGUUGGGGUGACCUCGGAGAACAAAAAAUCCUCCGAGCGAUUCUAAAGACAAGACGCACAAGUCGAAUCAAAUUAUCGCUUAUUGAUCCAAUAAAUUGAUCAACGGAACAAGUUACCCUAGGGAUAACAGCGCAAUCCUAUUCGAGAGUCCAUAUCGACAAUAGGGUUUACGACCUCGAUGUUGGAUCAGGACACCCCGAUGGUGCAACCGCUAUCAAAGGUUCGUUUGUUCAACGAUUAAAGUCCUACGUGAUCUGAGUUCAGACCGGAGUAAUCCAGGUCGGUUUCUAUCUAUUAUGUAUUUCUCCCAGUACGAAAGGACAAGAGAAAUAAGGCCAACUUUAAAUAAGCGCCUUAAACUAAUUAAUGAUUUCAUCUUAAUUAAUUCACAAACAUGACUCGCUCUAGAAAAGAGCUCA
Molecule: ribosomal RNA, 1565 nt
Filed under: Madoqua kirkii (Kirk's dik-dik)
Lineage: Eukaryota; Metazoa; Chordata; Mammalia; Artiodactyla; Bovidae
Description: 16S ribosomal RNA
Rfam family: Bacterial large subunit ribosomal RNA
Source: RNAcentral